Herpailurus yagouaroundi (jaguarundi) is the source of this 3172-nucleotide long non-coding RNA. RefSeq lists it as uncharacterized. The record is from RefSeq and is a predicted model, not a curated record. Lineage: Eukaryota; Metazoa; Chordata; Mammalia; Carnivora; Felidae. The transcript has 2 exons.
ACGGCUCCCUGUUCUCCUCAGACGAAGAAAUAAAAUGGAAAGCGACAUAAAAACUUAACUAGUGAAUGAGACGAACUGCAAAGGAAUCGGGCUCUUAGUUCAAUGCUCGACUCUGAUACUCACCGUAGGGCAAAUGAGAAUGGAAUUUAUUACCCUGGGAGUAACAUGCGCUCCUCUUUAUGCCUUAAACUUAUGAGUAAGGAAAAUAACGAUUCGGGGUGACGCCCGAAUCCUCACUGCUAAUGUGAGACGAAUUUUUGAGCGGGUAAAGGUUGCCCCUAAGGUGACCCGCCUACUUUGCGGGAUGCCUGGGAGUCGCGAUCUGCCCGUCCUCCUUCUAAUCACUGAAAAAAACAGACCAGUGUCUUCUGGUUAAGUAUCAAUUUUAAGAGUAGGUAGUUUCUUGCAAAGUAAGAGCUUAGGCUGCAGAAGGGUUUUUCGGUGCCUGUCAGCCCCGCCCUUGGCAUUUAUUAUCCCCGGUUUUUUUUUCUUUGUCUUGCUAAGUUGGCCCGGUGUUUCGAUUUAGUGAUUCACGGACUGCCUUCCGCUUGGCGACCGUAGCCAGUUUCUUGCCCCUGGAAUCCUAGAAUAAGGACAGCUGCCUACUUGUGGGUUAGAGCGAAAGAUGCCUGCGGCUACCGGCUGCAUACAGUAGGCGCUCGCGUUGCAGCUCACGGGGUGACAGCUGGAGGACCCCUUGGGUCCCCUCGAGCCGCGCUUCUUGGCGGUAUGGCUUUCACCAGCAAAUUGCUUCUCCUCGUUAUGCUGCGGUUUACUUGAUCUAUAAAAUGGGGCAAAUAGCAGGUCGUUGCGAGGGGUGCGUGAUAGACUGAAAAUCUUGGACACGCGGAAUUGCCUUUGGUAUAGAAGAGGCCGCCCCAGGACCCAGCGCUAAGCCCGGCACGAGGCCUGUUUUCUCAUCCUCCCAAAGGGACCAGAAUUGAGGAGACCUAACGCGAGUCCAGUGCUCUGCAGAGUCCCCAGCACAUGGUAGGGGUGCAGAAGGGAUUCCCAGGCCAAGCCCUUUGCUGCCCCAAGGAGCCCAGCCCUGCUCCAGGAUGCGGCCAGGGCCAAACAGAGGUAAGAGAAGAGAGGAAAAAGGGGCCCCCAGGCCUGUGGCUUGGCUUCAGGCGUUUCUUCCAGUGCACUUCCCACCCCACCCCCACUCCCCUCCAGCCACACCGACCUUCACAGUGUUCCUGAAGCCAUCCGGCAGACCUCUGCCCCAGGGCCUUUGGACCUGCUGGUCACACCCUCUAGAACACUGCUAGUUUGCCUCCUUUCCAGCUUCAUUUCCGCUGUCCCCUCAGCCACCUGCUUUCUUCCAUCUGUUUCUUGACGUUAAUCCCACAAGCUUGCUCCAAACCCAACGCCUCUGCACUCCCCGUUCCUGCCACCUUGAACACCUAUCCCUGCAGAGGCAGCUUCGUUGUCUCUUCAGAGAAACCAGCCCUCAUUCCCACGUUGCCUUGUGGCCUAAUUUGUCUUGGCAUUCACCGUUUCACUCAUGACACCAUCUGGUACUUGGCUUAGGACUUUCUCACCAGCGCCCCAGUAGUCGGGGAGGGUGUGUUGGGGCAGCCGCGGCCGAGUCCCCAGCACUUGAAUGGGACACAAAGGCACGAGGGGGCUAGUGGACCCCCUUGGAGCCCUCCACGGGGGGAGCAAUACCUGCCUUACUCAGGACUCCCCUCCAACCCGAAGGCCAUUCGUCGCCGAGCCUCAAACGAACCCUGCUUCUCAGGGCCGACCAGAGGGGAAGGCAAAAAGGAAACCGUGCAGACACAUGGAGUUGUACAACACAGGGCUGGAGAGGGCUUCUUGCAUGGCUGAGAUGACAUGACUAAGGCUGGGCAAAAGCGGGGCCAUUGAAAGGCUGGACCCCAGUGUCCCCGCGCCCUGGCCCAGCUUUCUGUCUCCAGGAAUCUAUCCUCAAAAAACAAAACAAGUCAUCCGACAGGAGGGUGAAGAGAGCCGCUGUCAUUUUCAAAAUCCACAGGUGGGAAACAAUCCAGCUGUCCAACCCCAGGGGAUCUGCGACAUAAUGAAUCAUGAUCCAUGUGGGCUUAUGGAGACCGUGUGACACGGGGCGACAGCAGCGGCCUCGGGUGGGCCACGUGGCUUCACCAGGGCGGUCGGCGUUUGCCUCUGGACGUCCGGUGUCUUUUCUCCCGCGUAUAUUUUUCCGUACUGUCCAAACUUCACACAACAAACACAAACACACGUUUGAAAUAAGUGCCGAGCCCCUUCUUGUCUCCUCCCCACCCCCCCCACCGUCCCCACAAUGACACAAGUCACAGAGCCUCCAAGAGCCCCAGAAGGGUUAGUAUUAGCAAAGUUUUAUUUCAACGUCUUUUCUGCUCAUAAAUGAUUCUGGAAAAGCCGAUACGCAAGAGGCUCACCCACCCUCGUCUAAAGGCAACACUGAGGUCACUGAGAACGCUGCUCAGACAAACUCCCCUAUGCUGGGGCGCAGGCAGCAGGACGGGCGGGUUUGGGGCAGAGGAAUAAAUAAACAUUGUCUCAGCUCUGCCAUCAGGGCUGGGGGCCCAGGGCCCAGAGGCAGCCCAUGAGACUGCUGGGCCGACAGCUUGGAACUCCCAAAGCUGCCCGAAGUUAAGGUGUGUUGCAGAAAAUGCCGAGGCUUCCGGAGGGCCUGCGUGUCCCCGGGAGGAGCCCUGGGCCGGUGGGCCAGUCUCCUCCUCCUGCUCCAGCCCCGGGGAGAGCCCAGCUCCCUGCCGGCGGGGCCUGCCUGGGCGCUGGAGGGGGGCAGACUCUCAUCCCCACAGUCCCUGCCGAGAGCACUUUUUGGCAUUACCUGUUAUGUAGUGUCAGGUGGCUGUGACCCAGAGCAGGUAGUGAGGGGUGGCAGGUGAGGGUCCCGAGCCGGUGGCUGGGGGGGGGGUCCCUGGCACCUGCAGCUCCGGGCUGCCCGUACACCUGUGUUUGCUUCCAGACUGCGGUCUGCUCUGGGAGGGGUGGGUGGAUCACAGUGCUGGAAGCCUUGGCCUAGUAGUGUGUGGGUGGGUGGGGUGGAGGCAGGGCGGGGCCAGGGCUGAGCAUCACGGGUAAGAACUGAAGAGGGCCAGAUGGUGGCUGGAGGUGGCCUGCCUGUAACAGCACCCCGCUCCCAAAGGGGUCCCUCGGGGGAACCAGCCCAGCGGGGUCACCA